Molecule: ribosomal RNA, 253 nt
Filed under: uncultured bacterium
Lineage: Bacteria
Description: partial 16S ribosomal RNA
Rfam family: Bacterial small subunit ribosomal RNA
Source: RNAcentral
UACGUAGGGGGCAAGCGUUGCCCGGAUUUAUUGGGCGUAAAGAGCGUGUAGGCGGCCAGACAGGUCCGUUGUGAAAACUCGAGGCUCAACCUCGAGAUGUCGAUGGAAACCGUCUGGCUAGAGUCCGGAAGAGGAGUGUGGAAUUCCUGGUGUAGCGGUGAAAUGCGCAGAUAUCAGGAAGAACACCUAUGGCGAAGGCAGCACUCUGGGACGGUACUGACGCUGAGACGCGAAAGCGUGGGGAGCGAACAGG